Molecule: ribosomal RNA, 316 nt
Filed under: uncultured bacterium
Lineage: Bacteria
Description: bacterial SSU rRNA
Rfam family: Bacterial small subunit ribosomal RNA
Source: RNAcentral
GAUGAACGCUAGCUACAGGCUUAACACAUGCAAGUCGAGGGGCAGCAUUUCAGUUUGCUUGCAAACUGGAGAUGGCGACCGGCGCACGGGUGAGUAACACGUAUCCAACCUGCCGAUAACUCGGGGAUAGCCUUUCGAAAGAAAGAUUAAUACCCGAUGGUAUAAUCAGACCGCAUGGUUUGAUUAUUAAAGAAUUUCGGUUAUCGAUGGGGAUGCGUUCCAUUAGUUUGUUGGCGGGGUAACGGCCCACCAAGACUACGAUGGAUAGGGGUUCUGAGAGGAAGGUCCCCCACAUUGGAACUGAGACACGGUCCAA